This 554-nucleotide ribosomal RNA is filed under the name Hepatozoon sp. RNAcentral describes it as "bacterial SSU rRNA". It matches the Rfam family "Eukaryotic small subunit ribosomal RNA", at positions 362 to 906 of the family's 1831-position model. The record is from RNAcentral. Lineage: Eukaryota; Apicomplexa; Hepatozoidae.
ACGGGGAAUUAGGGUUCAAUUCCGGAGAGGGAGCCUGAGAAACGGCUACCACAUCUAAGGAAGGCAGCAGGCGCGCAAAUUACCCAAUUCUAACAGCAUAAGAGAGGUAGUGACAAGAAAUAACAGUACAAGGCAGUUAAAAUGCUUUGUAAUUGGAAUGAUAGAAAUUUAAAUACUUUUUAAAGUAUCAAUUGGAGGGCAAGUCUGGUGCCAGCAGCCGCGGUAAUUCCAGCUCCAAUAGCGUAUAUUAAAAUUGUUGCAGUUAAAAAGCUCGUAGUUGAAUUUUUGCUAAAAAUAACCGGUCUGCUUUUAUUAAUAAAAGUGGUAUCUUGGUGUGUUUUUAGCAAUAAUGUCCUUUGAAAUGUUUUUUACUUCAUUGUAAAAAGCAAUUUUCAGGAUUUUUACUUUGAGAAAAUUAGAGUGUUUCAAGCAGGCUAACGUUUUGAAUACUGCAGCAUGGAAUAAUAAAAUAGGAUUUUAGUUCUACGUUAUUGGUUUUAAGAACUAAAUUAAUGAUUGAUAGGAGCAGUUGGGGGCAUUUGUAUUUAACUGUC